AAAAAACACCAUUGAGCUCGACCUCAGAUCAGGUAGGAGUACCCGCUGAACUUAAGCAUAUCAAUAAGCGGAGGAAAAGAAACCAACAGGAUUGCCCCAGUAGCGGCGAGUGAAGCGGCAAGAGCUCAGAUUUGAAAUCGUGCUAAUUUUUUUGGCACGAGUUGUAGAGUGUAGGCGGGAGUCUUUGUGGAGCACGGUGUCCAAGUCCCUUGGAACAGGGCGCCUGAGAGGGUGAGAGCCCCGUGGGGUGCCGUGCGAAGCUUUGAGGCCCUGCUGACGAGUCGAGUUGUUUGGGAAUGCAGCUCCAAGUGGGUGGUAAAUUCCAUCUAAGGCUAAAUACUGGCGAGAGACCGAUAGCGAACAAGUACUGUGAAGGAAAGAUGAAAAGCACUUUGAAAAGAGAGUGAAACAGCACGUGAAAUUGUUGAAAGGGAAGGGUAUUGGGCCCGACAUGGGGAGUGCGCACCGCUGUCUCUUGUAGGCGGCGCUCUGGGCGCUCUCUGGGCCAGCAUCGGUUCUUGCUGCGGGAGAAUGGGUGCCGGAAAGUGGCUCUUCGGAGUGUUAUAGCCGGCGCCAGAUACCGCGUGCGGGGACCGAGGACUGCGGCUUCUGUCUCGGAUGCUGCACAACGGC
RNAcentral lists this ribosomal RNA (633 nucleotides) under Pichia membranifaciens. RNAcentral's name for it is "LSU rRNA". It matches the Rfam family "Eukaryotic large subunit ribosomal RNA", at positions 1 to 637 of the family's 3401-position model. Lineage: Eukaryota; Fungi; Ascomycota; Pichiomycetes; Pichiales; Pichiaceae. The record is from RNAcentral.